CAUUGCACACGUGUCUGUGCAUCGGCUAUUGCAUGUCCGUGCCAGGCAUUGCACGUGUGUGCAUGCAUUGCCCGUUGCAUGUCUAUGCUGGACAUUGCACACGUGUCUGUGCAUUGGUUAUUGCAUGUCUGUGCCAAACAUUGCACACGUGUGUGCAUGCAUCGGCCAUUGCACAUCCAUGCUGGGCAUUGCACGUCCAUGCUAAGCAUUGCACACGUGUGUGUGUGUGUGCAUGUAUUGGGCAUUGCACGUCCAUGCUGGGAUUGCACAUCUGUGCCAAACAUUGCACACGUGUGUGCAUGCAUUGGCCAUUGCACAUCUAUGCUGGGCAUUGCACGUGUGUGUGCAUACAUUGGCCAUUGCAUGUUCACGUUGUGCAUUGCGUGUAUGUGUGCACAUCAGCCAUUCCAUGUCUGUGCUGGGCAUUGCACGUGCGUGUGCAUGCAUCAGCCAUUCUUUGUCCCUGCUGGGCAUUGCAUGUAUUGCCUGUGUGCAUGCACGUAUUGGCCAUUGCACGUCCAUGUUGUGCAUUGCACAUGUGUGUGCAUCAGCCAUUGCACAUCCAUGCUGGGUAUUCUGUGUGUGUGCAUCAGCCUUUCCAUGACCAUGCUGAGCAUUGCACGUUUGUGUACAUUGGCCUUUGCAUGCUGGGUAUUGCACAUGUCUGUGUGUGUGCAUUGGCUUUUCCAUGUCCCAUAUCCAUGCUGUGCAUUGCACAUGUCUGUGCGUGUAUCAGCCAUUCUGUGUCCGUGCUGGGCAUUGCAUGUGUGUGUGUGUGUGUGUGUGUGCAUCAGCCAUUAAAUGUCUGAUGAAGAGAAGGCUCCAGGCAGACCUCAUUGCAGCCUUUCAAUACCUAAAGAGGUCUUAUAAAAAAGAUGGACGAGGACUCUUUACUCAGGUAGAUGAUGACAGGGCAAGGGAAUGGCGUUAAACUCAACGAGAACAGAUUCAAGCUAGCCCUUAGGAGGAAAUUUGUCACGGUGAGGGCGGCGAGGCCUGGCGCAGGCUGCCCAGAGGAGCUGUGGCUGCCCCAUCCCUGAGGUGCCCAAGGCCAGGCCGGACGGGACCUUGGGCACCCUGAUGUGGUGGGGGGCACCCUGCCCAUGGCGGGGGGCUGGGGGGGCUUUGAGGCCCCUUCCGUGUGCACCAGGCGUCGCCCACCCACAGGGCGUUACACAUCUGUGCCAGGCACUGUGUGCGUGUCCCAGAGCCACCCCCCCGCCCCCCCCGGUGUCCCAGCGCUGCCACCUCGCCCCCAGCCACCCCUGGCCUCUUCAGGGGGGCUCUGGGGUCAACCCCCCCCCCCAUCUCGCUGUGCUGGGUGUCGCUAGAUGGCAGCACGGCCACACGGCAUGGCCUGGGGGAGGGGAGGGCAGUGCCACCGCUGUCCCUGUGCCCCUCUUUGGGGCAGGGGCGGCCCCCCCUGGCUGCAGGGCGAGGACCCCCCCCGGUGCCAGAGACCCCCCCCCAGGGCCGGCCGAGGGGGGUCCCAAGGGGGGCAAAGCUGGCUU
Molecule: long non-coding RNA, 1511 nt
Filed under: Anser brachyrhynchus (Pink-footed goose)
Lineage: Eukaryota; Metazoa; Chordata; Aves; Anseriformes; Anatidae
Description: lncRNA (ENSABRG00000011712.1)
Source: RNAcentral